RNAcentral lists this small nuclear RNA (80 nucleotides) under Chrysemys picta bellii (western painted turtle). RNAcentral's name for it is "U4 spliceosomal RNA (ENSCPBG00000021137.1)". It matches the Rfam family "U4 spliceosomal RNA". Rfam says of the family: U4 small nuclear RNA (U4 snRNA) is a component of the major U2-dependent spliceosome. The structure of U4 snRNA from yeast and human has been reported. Lineage: Eukaryota; Metazoa; Chordata; Testudines; Emydidae. The record is from RNAcentral.
UCUUUUGUGCAGUGGCAGUAUCCUAGCCAAUGAGGUUAAUCUGAGGUGUGAUUAUUGCUAGUUGAAAACUUUUCAACUGG